AUCUGUGUCGCCUCCUGUUCCAUGUAGGCUGUACCAGGACAGGUGUUUCUUGUGUGUGUACAGCUUUAAGGCUAAAAACCAGAGACCAAUCAGUUUCAGAAUCAAGAGCAUUCUUCCUGAAGUCACUCUUGUGUUGCUUCUGGAUGCUGGCAGGUGGAAGGUUGGCUAUGUGUGCCCUCCCCGAGCUGCUCACAGUGGGAUUUGUCCCCUGGCUGAUGACCUUCCCUGGGACUCAGUAGCAUCCCAACUGAGACCAAACUAAAGUGCUUCUUGGGUCAAGUGUGAUAAGGGACCUGAGACAUCUAGGGGUCACCAUGGACCUACACUGGGGGCACCAGCUCAUUUUUUUGAGAUUUGCCCUAGGCCCCCCGAGUUCCAAGCAGGGCUCUACAGUCUAUUCAUGAGGAAUUUGGGGGUGGAAAGCUAGAUUCUGACUCAAGAGAUUUUGUAAGAUGUCACUUAAUAACAUCUGUGACCUUUCAGGGACUCAGUGAUGUGGUAGGAAUUUGUGUGCAUGUGACUCACAUAUGAAUUAUGGUAUGCUGAGGAGUGAGUUUGUGACACUCGCAUCAGAGGCAGAGGCCACUUUGGGGGAGGAGGACGAGCCUCCCCAUGACUAAGAGAAUGACCCUUACCUCAGUGUCCCCCGUAUGAUCCGGGAUGGCCAGUUGUCACGUGCCAUUGUCCAAAGGCCACAGUAGGUACACCUGUAUUCCAUACCACAGCUUCCUAAUGGCCCUGGUACCCGAGAACAGGCUCCUGCUGGAGAAAGAGCAAAGGGCUCCCUGGGGCUCUUGGCCCCUCUCUAAAUCACACCAUAAAGGCAGUAAGCACCGGCACACCCUUGGGUCACACUUUGCUGGUGGUAACAGGAGCAGAGCAGGGCAGAGAGAUUCAUGGGCUGUCAUCCCUCUGUCCUUCCUCACCCUGAUCUCCCUCACUCCCAGAGACAAGGGCUGCUCAGAGGUCUGAGGUGCGACCUGCCCUAUGGGUCUUGUUUCCUUCCAUCUGACCAGAGCUUGGAAUGGAAUUCAGCCAACAGACCUUCCUCUCCCCUCCUGGUGCUCUGCAGAUGGCCUCCUGAUCACCCAGCCAUCUCUCGGUGCACAGCAGCUGGGGUCCAUGCAGACCCGGCGCUCUGGCUCCUUGCUCCUCACGCCAUGUGAGUGGAUGGCAGGCUGGGCCAGGACUGUCCUUCCCAGGGCAAACAGACCCUCUUCUGGCGGCACAAGCUUCUGGGGCCUCGAGAGGUUUGAGGCAAAAGUCUGAGUUGAGGCCUGUGCUUGCUGCUGUCUGUCCCUGAUCUAGGAGGAACUGACCCCACAUGAUCUGGGUGUGGCUUUGAGUGGCAGAUCUGAAAACCAGAGGGAGAAAUGGCGGCUUCUUGGGGUCAGGCAGGCUGGGUACCCUCUUUCCUCCAGUGACUCUGGCGGUUCUGGUAGCAGACAAUCCAUUAAGGCUCAGACCUUUACCUCCUCCCCACCAACCCUUGGGCCUGGGUCCCAAACACAGGUCCCUAAGGGACCUCGUCAGUCCAAGCUGGCUGCCUUGAGGACUCUUUCCACACCUGCAGUGAGUCAGUCCAGGGUCACCACCUCCCACCGUCACACCAUAGAGAACUUACUAAGCCACGCACCCAUUCAAUUCACAGUGUGCCUGAGUCCGCCCAGCUAGACAGUCUUCUAUACCUGCAGUCUUGGCCUCCAUAGAGACAGACCCCACGCAAGACCCUCCUAGGGGGGUACAGAGGCCAGCCCUAUGAUGAAGGAUGUCUGCUCGGCAAUCUCGGGAGGCCUUGGGGACAGCCUCUGCCUCCUUCCUUAUCAUUACAGAUCACCUGGCAGCUCCAAGGACCCAUAGGCUGCAAAUCUGCAGAGAGGACCCCACCCCACACGCAUCGCACACACACACACACAGACACACACUUGACACACACUGCAUCCAUGAACCAUAUGCACACAUAUAUCUCCGUUGUGUGGCUUUUCCUGAGGAGACGUUGAACAAACAUCUCUUCACUCCACAUAAGACGCCAACAACAGACCAAAGGGAUGAGUCCAGCCAAGGUUCUAGGUUAAUGACCCAGCGAUUUUGUUCGUGCUACUUACGGGAGCGUGGGGGACUCAACGGCAGUUGCAUCCCUGAAAAACCCACCCCAGCAAGGCUACAGCUUGCAAGAUCUAGUCUCUGGAGUUCCCAGACUUGCAGGCAGCUUGGGCAGCUCAAGGGUCGCUUCUCCCCAGCAACUUCUGCUUUUGAAACCUCAGGAUGGGGCCUUAGGAAUCUUGUAAGUUUGCGCAGCGUCCCCUCCGAGAGGAUGCUUCCAUUUGGAUGCAGUUGUUAAGCAGCACUCCACCUCUUUUCUGACGCUUGCAUUCCCAUAUCCCCUCCCUCCCCCCCAUGAUGCUGUCUAAGCCUCGGAGGAGGUGAUGGUAACUGUUGAUUAUUUUCCCUCGCCUGUGGCUGAGAACUGUCCAUUGCAACAGCACUCACUUUCCCUCAGUAACUACUUGUGAGU
Molecule: long non-coding RNA, 2515 nt
Organism: Nannospalax galili (Upper Galilee mountains blind mole rat)
Lineage: Eukaryota; Metazoa; Chordata; Mammalia; Rodentia; Spalacidae
Exons: 2
Source: RefSeq, a predicted model, not a curated record